RNAcentral lists this long non-coding RNA (220 nucleotides) under Lathyrus oleraceus (garden pea). RNAcentral describes it as "Pisum sativum (pea) long non-coding RNA (PSAT_LNC023443)". The record is from RNAcentral. Lineage: Eukaryota; Viridiplantae; Streptophyta; Magnoliopsida; Fabales; Fabaceae.
AUCCAACCCAUUUCUUAUUCAUCGACGAAAACUGAACAAACCCAACAUUCAUUUCAUCCUUACUCUUCACAAUAACCAAACUAAAUAACUUCUUUUUUUCUUCCAUGAACCGCACUACCUAACUUUAAACCACUCCAAAACUUUCGAUCCAUCACCACCAUAUAACAAAGGUAACACAACAACACCAAAGAACCAACUUGCUCAUUUGUCACGGUUCUCA